AUACGGAGGAUCCGAGCGUUAUCCGGAUUUAUUGGGUUUAAAGGGAGCGUAGGUGGAUUGUUAAGUCAGUUGUGAAAGUUUGCGGCUCAACCGUAAAAUUGCAGUUGAAACUGGCAGUCUUGAGUACAGUAGAGGUGGGCGGAAUUCGUGGGGUAGCGGUGAAAUGCUUAGAUAUCACGAAGAACUCCGAUUGCGAAGGCAGCUCACUAGACUGUCACUGACACUGAUGCUCGAAAGUGUGGGUAUCAAACAGGAUUAGAUACCCUGGUAGUCCACACAGUAAACGAUGAAUACUCGCUGUUUGCGAUAUACAGUAAGCGGCCAAGCGAAAGCAUUAAGUAUUCCACCUGGGGAGUACGCCGGCAACGGUGAAACUCAAAGGAAUUGACGGGG
RNAcentral lists this ribosomal RNA (393 nucleotides) under uncultured bacterium. RNAcentral's name for it is "partial 16S ribosomal RNA". It matches the Rfam family "Bacterial small subunit ribosomal RNA", at positions 523 to 918 of the family's 1533-position model. The record is from RNAcentral.